RNAcentral lists this ribosomal RNA (253 nucleotides) under uncultured bacterium. Its description in RNAcentral is "partial 16S ribosomal RNA". It matches the Rfam family "Bacterial small subunit ribosomal RNA", at positions 524 to 776 of the family's 1533-position model. The record is from RNAcentral.
UACGGGGGGGGUAAGCGUCGUUCGGAAUUACUGGGCGUAAAGGGCUCGUAGGCGGCCAACUAAGUCAGACGUGAAAUCCCUCAGCUUAACUGGGGAACUGCGUCUGAUACUGGAUGGCUUGGAUUCGGGAGAGGAAUGCGGAAUUCCAGGUGUAGCGGUGAAAUGCGUAGAUAUCUGGAGGAACACCGGUGGCGAAGGCGGCAUUCUGGACCGACACUGACGCUGAGGAGCGAAAGCGUGGGGAGCGAACAGG